RNAcentral lists this long non-coding RNA (351 nucleotides) under Phoenix dactylifera (date palm). RNAcentral describes it as "long non-coding RNA (PDAC_LNC020941)". Lineage: Eukaryota; Viridiplantae; Streptophyta; Magnoliopsida; Arecales; Arecaceae. The record is from RNAcentral.
GCAGCACCUAACUUUAUUGUUAUUGUUCGUCCACUUAGCAUGCAUCUUAUGCUGACCAGUAAUCGGACGGAUUGGUAACACAGGGAUUCCAUGGUCUAGCAUAUACCCUAAUUUCUCACAAUUCAAAACUAUUUUGAAAUUUGCUGAGCCAGUUUUUUAUAAUUGGGUUUGGUCAAACGAUUGUUCUAUAGGAUAUGAGUUUAGAGUCUAGAAGCUGACUUUAUAAUCCUCAGAGAGUAAAGAUUCUAGUUAGAAUUUUGUACUUGAACACUAUUUGUUUUAGGGACCUUUUUUUUAAAAAAAAACAAAUACACCUCCCACUAUUUCCUCGAAUCUCUCACACUCCUCUGG